AGAGUUUGAUCCUGGCUCAGGAUUAACGCUGGCGGCGUGCAUAAUCAAUGCGAGUCGAACGGGGUAUAGACCGUAGCAAUACGUUCUGUGCCUAGUGGCGCACGGGUGCGUAACACGUGGGUGACCUACCCCAGAGCGGGGGAUACCUGCCCGAAAGGGCAGCUAAUACCGCAUACGGUUGCACUUUCAUUUGUGUAACUAAAGGAGAAAUCCGAUUUGGGAGGGGCCCGCGGCUGAUUAGCUAGUUGGUGAGGUAACGGCCCACCAAGGCGAUGAUCAGUAGCUGGUCUGAGAGGAUGAUCAGCCACACUGGGACUGAGAUAUGGUCCAGAGCCCUACGGGGUUUAGCAUGAGGGAAUUUUGCGCAAUGGGCGAAAGCCUGACGCAGCAACGCCGCGUGGACGGCGAAGGCCUUCGGGUCGUAAAGUCCUUUUCUGGGGGAAGAGAAUGGACGGUACCCCAGGAAUAAGCAUCGGCUAACUACGUGCCAGCAGCCGCGGUGAUACGUAGGAUGCGAGCGUUGUCCGGAUUUAUUGGGCGUAAAGAGCGCGUAGGUGGUGCUUUAAGUUAGGCGUUAAAUCUCCCGGCCCAACUGGGAAACGUCGUCUAAUACUGGGGCACUUGAGGGCAGAAGAGGGAAGUGGAAUUUCCGGUGUAGUGGUGAAAUGCGUAGAUAUCGGAAGGAACACCCGUGGCGAAAGCGGCUUCCUGGUCUGCUCCUGACGCUGAGGCGCGAAAGCUAGGGUAGCGAAUGGAAUUAGAUACUCCAGUAGUCCUAGCCGUAAACGAUGGACACUAGGUGUAGGGGGUAUCGACCCCCUCUGCGCCGUAGCUAACGCGUUAAGUGUCCCGCCUGGGGAGUACGGCCGCAAGGCUAAAACUCAAAGGAAUUGACGG
RNAcentral lists this ribosomal RNA (897 nucleotides) under uncultured Chloroflexota bacterium. RNAcentral's name for it is "bacterial SSU rRNA". It matches the Rfam family "Bacterial small subunit ribosomal RNA", at positions 8 to 916 of the family's 1533-position model. The record is from RNAcentral. Lineage: Bacteria; Bacillati; Chloroflexota.